This 3028-nucleotide ribosomal RNA is filed under the name Yersinia enterocolitica subsp. palearctica. RNAcentral's name for it is "bacterial LSU rRNA". It matches the Rfam family "Bacterial large subunit ribosomal RNA". Lineage: Bacteria; Pseudomonadati; Pseudomonadota; Gammaproteobacteria; Enterobacterales; Yersiniaceae. The record is from RNAcentral.
GGGUUGUGAGGUUAAGCGACUAAGCGUACACGGUGGAUGCCUAGGCAGUCAGAGGCGAUGAAGGGCGUGCUAAUCUGCGAAAAGCGUCGGUAAGGUGAUAUGAACCGUUAUAACCGACGAUACCCGAAUGGGGAAACCCAGUGCAAUUCGUUGCACUAUUGCAUGGUGAAUACAUAGCCAUGCAAGGCGAACCGGGGGAACUGAAACAUCUAAGUACCCCGAGGAAAAGAAAUCAACCGAGAUUCCCCCAGUAGCGGCGAGCGAACGGGGAGGAGCCCAGAACCUGAAUCAGCGUAUGUGUUAGUGGAAGCGUCUGGAAAGUCGCACGGUACAGGGUGAUAGUCCCGUACACAAAAAUGCAUAUGUUGUGAGUUCGAUGAGUAGGGCGGGACACGUGACAUCCUGUCUGAAUAUGGGGGGACCAUCCUCCAAGGCUAAAUACUCCUGACUGACCGAUAGUGAACCAGUACCGUGAGGGAAAGGCGAAAAGAACCCCGGCGAGGGGAGUGAAACAGAACCUGAAACCGUGUACGUACAAGCAGUGGGAGCACCUUCGUGGUGUGACUGCGUACCUUUUGUAUAAUGGGUCAGCGACUUAUAUUUUGUAGCAAGGUUAACCGAAUAGGGGAGCCGUAGGGAAACCGAGUCUUAACUGGGCGAAUAGUUGCAAGGUAUAGACCCGAAACCCGGUGAUCUAGCCAUGGGCAGGUUGAAGGUUGGGUAACACUAACUGGAGGACCGAACCGACUAAUGUUGAAAAAUUAGCGGAUGACUUGUGGCUGGGGGUGAAAGGCCAAUCAAACCGGGAGAUAGCUGGUUCUCCCCGAAAGCUAUUUAGGUAGCGCCUCGUGAACUCAUCUUCGGGGGUAGAGCACUGUUUCGGCUAGGGGGUCAUCCCGACUUACCAAACCGAUGCAAACUCCGAAUACCGAAGAAUGUUAUCACGGGAGACACACGGCGGGUGCUAACGUCCGUCGUGAAGAGGGAAACAACCCAGACCGCCAGCUAAGGUCCCAAAGUCAUGGUUAAGUGGGAAACGAUGUGGGAAGGCACAGACAGCCAGGAUGUUGGCUUAGAAGCAGCCAUCAUUUAAAGAAAGCGUAAUAGCUCACUGGUCGAGUCGGCCUGCGCGGAAGAUGUAACGGGGCUAAACCAUGCACCGAAGCUGCGGCAGCGAACGUAUCACUUAAAACGCUUAACGUGACGGCAAAGCCGGCAUGUUCAAGCCACACUAAACGUUGAGUUGGCCGAUGUGCUGACAAACGAACAGGCGUUUUAAGGAUACGUUCGUUGGGUAGGGGAGCGUUCUGUAAGCCGUUGAAGGUGGUCUGUGAGGGCUGCUGGAGGUAUCAGAAGUGCGAAUGCUGACAUAAGUAACGAUAAUGCGGGUGAAAAACCCGCACGCCGGAAGACCAAGGGUUCCUGUCCAACGUUAAUCGGGGCAGGGUGAGUCGACCCCUAAGGCGAGGCUGAAAAGCGUAGUCGAUGGGAAACAGGUUAAUAUUCCUGUACUUGGUGUUACUGCGAAGGGGGGACGGAGAAGGCUAGGCUAGCCGGGCGACGGUUGUCCCGGUUUAAGCAUGUAGGCGGAGUGACCAGGUAAAUCCGGUUGCUUAUCAACGCUGAGGUGUGAUGACGAUGCACUACGGUGCAGAAGUAGUUGAUGCCAUGCUUCCAGGAAAAGCCUCUAAGCAUCAGGUAACAUGAAAUCGUACCCCAAACCGACACAGGUGGUCAGGUAGAGAAUACUCAGGCGCUUGAGAGAACUCGGGUGAAGGAACUAGGCAAAAUGGUGCCGUAACUUCGGGAGAAGGCACGCUGGCAUUAGGUAAAGGGACUUGCUCCCGGCGCCGAAGCCAGUCGCAGAUACCAGCUGGCUGCAACUGUUUAAUAAAAACACAGCACUGUGCAAACACGAAAGUGGACGUAUACGGUGUGACGCCUGCCCGGUGCUGGAAGGUUAAUUGAUGGGGUCAGCCGCAAGGCGAAGCUCUUGAUCGAAGCCCCAGUAAACGGCGGCCGUAACUAUAACGGUCCUAAGGUAGCGAAAUUCCUUGUCGGGUAAGUUCCGACCUGCACGAAUGGCGUAAUGAUGGCCAGGCUGUCUCCACCCGAGACUCAGUGAAAUUGAACUCGCUGUGAAGAUGCAGUGUACCCGCGGCAAGACGGAAAGACCCCGUGAACCUUUACUAUAGCUUGACACUGAACAUUGAGCCUUGAUGUGUAGGAUAGGUGGGAGGCAUAGAAGUGUGGACGCCAGUCUGCAUGGAGCCAACCUUGAAAUACCACCCUUUAAUGUUUGAUGUUCUAACUCGGCCCCGUAAUCCGGGGUGAGGACAGUGUCUGGUGGGUAGUUUGACUGGGGCGGUCUCCUCCCAAAGAGUAACGGAGGAGCACGAAGGUUAGCUAAUCACGGUCGGACAUCGUGAGGUUAGUGCAAAGGCAUAAGCUAGCUUGACUGCGAGAGUGACGGCUCGAGCAGGUACGAAAGUAGGUCUUAGUGAUCCGGUGGUUCUGAAUGGAAGGGCCAUCGCUCAACGGAUAAAAGGUACUCCGGGGAUAACAGGCUGAUACCGCCCAAGAGUUCAUAUCGACGGCGGUGUUUGGCACCUCGAUGUCGGCUCAUCACAUCCUGGGGCUGAAGUAGGUCCCAAGGGUAUGGCUGUUCGCCAUUUAAAGUGGUACGCGAGCUGGGUUUAGAACGUCGUGAGACAGUUCGGUCCCUAUCUGCCGUGGGCGUUGGAAGAUUGAGAGGGGCUGCUCCUAGUACGAGAGGACCGGAGUGGACGAAUCACUGGUGUUCGGGUUGUCAUGCCAAUGGCAUUGCCCGGUAGCUAAAUUCGGAAGAGAUAACCGCUGAAAGCAUCUAAGCGGGAAACUUGCCUCGAGAUGAGUCUUCCCUGGGGCUUUAAGCCCCCUGAAGGAACGUUAAAGACGAUGACGUUGAUAGGCUGGGUGUGUAAGUGCAGCGAUGCAUUGAGCUAACCAGUACUAAUGAACCGUGAGGCUUAACCUUACAACACCAAAG